UACGAAGGGUGCAAGCGUUACUCGGAAUUACUGGGCGUAAAGGGUGCGUAGGUGGUCGUUUAAGUCCGUUGUGAAAUCCCUGGGCUCAACCUGGGAAUGGCAGUGGAUACUGGACGGCUAGAAUGCGGUAGAGGGUAGUGGAAUUCCCGGUGUAGCAGUGAAAUGCGUAGAGAUCGGGAGGAACACCGAUGGCGAAGGCAGCCCCCUGGGCUGACACUGACGCUCAGGCACGAAAGCGUGGGGAGCAAACAGG
Molecule: ribosomal RNA, 253 nt
Filed under: uncultured bacterium
Lineage: Bacteria
Description: partial 16S ribosomal RNA
Rfam family: Bacterial small subunit ribosomal RNA
Source: RNAcentral